This is a long non-coding RNA of Helianthus annuus (common sunflower), 201 nucleotides long. RefSeq lists it as uncharacterized. The transcript is spliced from 2 exons. Lineage: Eukaryota; Viridiplantae; Streptophyta; Magnoliopsida; Asterales; Asteraceae. The record is from RefSeq and is a predicted model, not a curated record.
AGUGUGAAUUGCCUGAAUCAUAUGAAGCUUACCAGAAGCAACAACACAGAUGGCAUUCCGGGCCAAUGCAAUUGUUUCGUCUAUGCUUGCCUGACAUCAUCAAAUCAAAGAUUAGCAUUUGGAAGAAAGCAAACAUAAUAUUCCUUUUCUUCUUACUACGAAAACUCAUCCUACCAUUUUACUCAUUUACCCUCUUCUGCA